GGCCUUAGCUCAGCUGGUCAGAGCAGGGGACUCAUAAUCCCUUGGUCGCGGGUUCAAGCCCCGCAGGCC
This 69-nucleotide transfer RNA is filed under the name Candidatus Rothia avicola. It matches the Rfam family "tRNA". From Rfam's summary of the family: Transfer RNA (tRNA) molecules are approximately 80 nucleotides in length. Their secondary structure includes four short double-helical elements and three loops (D, anti-codon, and T loops). Lineage: Bacteria; Bacillati; Actinomycetota; Actinomycetes; Micrococcales; Micrococcaceae. The record is from RNAcentral.